UUGAUAGAGAGACGAGGUUUCACCAUGUUGGUCAAGCUGGUCUCAAACUGCUGACCUCAACUGAUCUGCCUACCUCGGCCUCCCAAAGUGCUAGGAUUACAGGCAUAAGCCACGGUGUCUGACCUGUCAUUAUUUUAAAGGAAGUAAUUUCCUUGUCAGUUUGGGCAAUGUAUAUAUUUUUGUUGCUUAUCUUUACUUUUCUUUUUUCAAGGUGGAUUUCUUCAGUAAAUGGCAAUUGAUUGGUAAGAGGUGUCAUCACGAGGUGGAAGGAGCACUGUGUAAGAAGGAAAUUGAGAUGUUAGUUCUGAUCACCUCCUUUUCCCUUCCUGCCUCUGUCCCCAUUGCACACGUAAGCCUGUGCAUUGCACUUUGCAACCUUAAAUAAGUUGCUUCCUCUGCAUGUUUCAGUUGCCUCAAUUAAUAAAUAAGAAUAAUAAUAUUUCAUUGGCUCAAGGACAGGAACUAUACAGAUAAUUUCUUGAGCUUCCUUCUAUCUUAAAAAAUAGAAUUCUGUGAUUAUGACCAUUCCUUUUUGCCGCAUAUGUGCAAGGGAUGCCAAGCUCAGAGGACUGGUUCCUGCCCUCGAAGAGGCUACAGCUUGGUCUGGGGAAACCGGAACUUACAAUUCAACACAAAAGUGCUGUAGAGAAGGCACAUGAGAUGUGUCCAGGGCAUAUAAAGUAUAAAUACCUACGUCAGUCCAGGGGAAAUUAGGGAACUUCCUCAGGGGAAGUAACAUUUGAGCUGAGCCUUGAAGGAGUUUCUAUGCCAACAACGAGAAUGGGGGUUUCGGGCUGGGAGAACAGCACAUGUUUUAAAAAGGAGACAUGUUUUGAGAAAGAACUAAAAGUAAGUCCGUAUUUCUGGGAUUUAAAGAAGAAAGUAUGGAGCAGUAAAAAUUAGGGGCUGGACAGAUGGUCAGGUAUUACUCAAUCUAAAUGACAAUCAGACACUCACUGGUUGAAGGACAGUAUGCCAGAUGCUGGGUUGACUGAAACUAGGAAUUACUGAUCCUGGAGAAAGGUCUGGGAAGGCUUCAAACUAGAGAUAGAACAGGGAUAAAAGUGAUAGCUGGAAUUUAGGAAA
RNAcentral lists this long non-coding RNA (1086 nucleotides) under Macaca fascicularis (crab-eating macaque). RNAcentral's name for it is "lncRNA (ENSMFAG00000062081.1)". The record is from RNAcentral. Lineage: Eukaryota; Metazoa; Chordata; Mammalia; Primates; Cercopithecidae.